RNAcentral lists this long non-coding RNA (325 nucleotides) under Setaria viridis. RNAcentral's name for it is "long non-coding RNA (SVIR_LNC009514)". The record is from RNAcentral. Lineage: Eukaryota; Viridiplantae; Streptophyta; Magnoliopsida; Poales; Poaceae.
GACCUUCUCAUGCAUUUCAAAUACUAUUUUAUCCAUAGCUUGUUUUGGAGAAAAAACAUUCUCAUUGGUUCCAUUGAAAAAGUCAUUCAUCCUGCGGUAUUUGUGCGUCUUCAAUAAGAAGCACCUGUGUCGCAUGAACACUAUCUUCAUAGAUCCCUUAAGAUACACAUAUGAUGUUCCAUCCAAGCAAACUACACAUGUUGUCUUACCUUUUACUUGACUUAUCAGGACAAAUAGGGCAGGAUAAUCAUUGAUGGUAACAAAGAUAAUGACCCUUAGUAUGCUAUACUCAUCCCACAUCCAAACCCCAUGUUCCCAAAUCUUC